AGAGUUUGAUCCUGGCUCAGGAUGAACGCUAGCGGCAGGCUUAAUACAUGCAAGUCGAGGGGCAGCGGGGUAGCAAUACCGCCGGCGACCGGCAAACGGGUGCGGAACACGUACAGAACCUUCCUCUGAGUGUGGGAUAGCCCGGAGAAAUCCGGAUUAAUACCACAUAUUAUUUUGGAGUGGCAUCACUUUAAAAUUAAAGAUUUAUCGCUUAGAGAUGGCUGUGCGGCUGAUUAGGUAGUUGGUGCGGGUAACGGCCCACCAAGCCUUCGAUCAGUAACUGGUGUGAGAGCACGACCAGUCACGCGGGCACUGAGACACGGGCCCGACUCCUACGGGAGGCAGCAGUAAGGAAUAUUGGUCAAUGGACGCAAGUCUGAACCAGCCAUGCCGCGUAGAGGAUGAAGGCCCUCUGGGUUGUAAACUUCUUUUAUCUGGGACGAAACCCAGGCAUUCUUGCCUGACUGACGGUACCAGAGGAAUAAGCACCGGCUAACUCCGUGCCAGCAGCCGCGGUAAUACGGGAGGGUGCAAGCGUUAUCCGGAUUCACUGGGUUUAAAGGGUGCGUACGCGGAUGGGUAA
RNAcentral lists this ribosomal RNA (583 nucleotides) under uncultured bacterium. RNAcentral's name for it is "bacterial SSU rRNA". It matches the Rfam family "Bacterial small subunit ribosomal RNA", at positions 8 to 586 of the family's 1533-position model. The record is from RNAcentral.